Molecule: ribosomal RNA, 492 nt
Filed under: uncultured bacterium
Lineage: Bacteria
Description: partial 16S ribosomal RNA
Rfam family: Bacterial small subunit ribosomal RNA
Source: RNAcentral
AUUGAACGCUGGCGGCAUGCUUUACACAUGCAAGUCGAGCGGUAACAGGCCUUCGGGUGCUGACGAGUGGCGAACGGGCGAGUAAUGCAUCGGAACGUACCCAGAGGUUGGGUAUAACGCAGCUAAAGCUGUGCUAAUACCGCAUGUGAUCUGAGGUUGAAAUCGGGGGAGGGGGCAGGAAAGUUUGGCCUCGCGGCGUUGGAGUGGCCGAUGUUGGUUUAGCUAGUGGGGGGGGGAAAGGCCUAGGCAGUCGCCGGUCGGUAGCUGGUCUGGGAGGACGACCGGCCACCCUGGAACUGAGCCACGCACCAGGGGCCUACGGGACGGACCAGUGGGCAAUGUUAGACAGUGGGCGCAAGCCUGAUCCAGCAAUGCCGCGUGCGGGAAGGCGGCCUUCGGGUUGUGAACAGGUUUUGGCAGUUACGAAACGGUGUCCGCUAAUACCGGGCGCUAAUGACGGUAACUGCAGAAUAAGCACCGGCUAACUACGUG